This is a long non-coding RNA of Mercenaria mercenaria, 1660 nucleotides long. RefSeq lists it as uncharacterized. NCBI's taxonomy places the organism in Eukaryota, Metazoa, Mollusca, Bivalvia, Venerida, Veneridae. The transcript is spliced from 8 exons. The record is from RefSeq and is a predicted model, not a curated record.
AAGACAUGCGGUGCAGACGAGAUCUGGGUUGAACGGGCAGAUUGUUUUAUUUUAUUUCUGCGUUUUACUCUUUUUGUUUUGUAUUUCUUUUUUCUACUAGAAUGCUGGGGUAUGUAUACUUGAAGAAAUAAGACGCAGACGGACAUGGAGAUGCAGACCAAGCAAAAUGUGCGUUUCUCUUUAUGAUGAACAGGUAUGUAUAUUGCUACUUAUGUUAUCCUUUUUUGUAUGCAUUUUUUCAACCUGGUGGCUGAUGUUUACAAGCACGUGUGAAUAUAUCAUGUUGUAGACAAUGCAAUGGUUUAGUGGAUGGUGCAACUAUGGUACAUGAUAUUGACUACAAGCACGUGCGUGGAUGUCUUUGUUGUAGAUUUCACAGUGGUUAGGUGGAUGCUGCAACUUGAUCCUUUUUCUGAGUAAUUCUGGAGCGUAGGAAUGUACAUUCAACUUCUGGCUAUGGUGAAAGUAAAACUAGAAGUAUAUUCGAUGAGAAACUCAGGCUAUCAAACGAGGAACCCGAACUAUCCGACAAGAAGCAGUUUCCUGUACCAUACACGAAGAAAAAUUUAGUUGAUGGAACUACAGUUGUCGUAAAAUUGCCUUGCUGGUACUAAAAAGAUGCCGAUAACCAGAGGGGCACUGGUAACCAAUAGAUGUCGCUCAUCAGAGGUGUUCUGGACCCCUUAUGUCAACAUAGUAAUCCACUGUUCUCGACAAGCAGACGACACUUGCUGCUUCUACUAGAUGACGCCAGUGGCAGAAGAAGGGACCCGAUGCCUGGAGUAACUUUGCAGUAUAAAAUUUUGAACUGUUCGAUUAGUCUAGAUAGAGUGGUUUUAGUGGAAUUCAGCCCUUGAUGGACAUAUCGUCUGUAUUUGCCCUGUCCUGGUGAUGGUAGAGAGCUCUUCCACACCUCGUGCACAUAUCAGAAUCCGCGAGGUAGGCGACGAAUUUAUUCAGGUUUAAAACGACAGGAAGACAGUGUUUUACAUUGUUGAAAGACAAAGAAAACGAAUCGAUUCCAGAACAUGCCGUCCUGUGUUUGUUGUUUUCGACAGUUGAGGGGAGAGUCCGAUGCAUGCCAGAUACUAUCUGAAAGUCGACGAAGGCGCUUGCAGUAAUUACAUACGAAGAGGGCUAUACUAUUGAAACUAUUGAAAAAUUGAUUUCGAACACUCUGGUGAGAAAUAUAUGCAGAAGAAAGAACCAAGUAUGAUAAAUCCACGACAGACCUGGCACAAGCAUAUAGCAUGACAACACUACAGCCGCCAUGACAAAAGCAUAGUUAAACAAAUUAGACAUAAGCUAACAUGUAUAUAAUUAUAUCCCAACGUACAAAGUAUAUUGGGCUAUGUUGGAGUCACGCUUGUCCAGUCCAUCCGUCCGUCCAUUUGUCCACCAUGGCCGCUAGGAUGAUUUUCAUAAAACUGACAUAAAUUAUAAACCACAUCAAGACGAUGUACAGAGUGCUCAACCUAGGUCACAAGGCCAAAGGUCAAGGUUACUCGUGGAGGUCAAAAGUCAAAUAGCUUAGCUUCAUGUCCGCUCUAUAUUAUCUAAACGGCUUUGAAAAUAUUUAGCUCGACUGUUUGAAGAAUAAGGAGGAUUACUGUACUUGCUUUGGCGUCUGUGUCAUUGUCGCCGUUGCAUUGAAAGUUAA